CCAAUAGCGUAUAUUAAAGUUGUUGCAGUUAAAAAGCUCGUAGUUGAAUUUCGGGAUCAACACGUCGGUCGUGCCUUCGGUAUGAACUGGCGUCGUUGGUUUCUCCCUUCUGACGAACCAAGAUGUCAUUAGGUUGGUGUUUUGGGGAGUUAGGACUGCUACUUUGAAAAAAUUAGAGUGUUUAAAGCAGGCAAACGCUUGAAUACAUUAGCAGGGAAUAAUGAAAUAGGACGUUCGAUCCUAUUUCGUUGGUUUCUAGGAUCAACGUAAUGAUUAAUAGGGAUAGUUGGGGGCAUUAGUAUUCAAUUGUCAGAGGUGAAAUUCUUGGAUUUAUUGAAGACUAACUACUGCGAAAGCAUUUGCCAAGGAUGUUUUCAUUAAUCAAGAACGAAAGUUAGGGGAUCGAAGACGAUCAGAUACCGUCGUAGUCUUAACCAUAAACUAUGCCGACUAGGGAUCGGAUGAUGUUAAUUUUUUAAUGACUCAUUCGGCGCCUUACG
Molecule: ribosomal RNA, 500 nt
Filed under: uncultured Glomeromycotina
Lineage: Eukaryota; Fungi; Glomeromycota
Description: partial small subunit ribosomal RNA
Rfam family: Eukaryotic small subunit ribosomal RNA
Source: RNAcentral